UACGAAGGGUGCAAGCGUUGUCCGGAAUUAUUGGGCGUAAAGAGCGUGUAGGCGGCCUCGUAAGUCCGCUGUGAAAGUCCAGGGCUCAACCCUGGAAAGCCGGUGGAUACUGCGAGGCUAGAGUCCGGAAGGGGCGAGUGGAAUUCCUGGUGUAGCGGUGAAAUGCGCAGAUAUCAGGAAGAACACCCGUGGCGAAGGCGGCUCUCUGGGACGGUACUGACGCUGAGACGCGAAAGCGUGGGGAGCGAACAGG
RNAcentral lists this ribosomal RNA (253 nucleotides) under uncultured bacterium. Its description in RNAcentral is "partial 16S ribosomal RNA". It matches the Rfam family "Bacterial small subunit ribosomal RNA", at positions 524 to 776 of the family's 1533-position model. The record is from RNAcentral.